GACCUCAAAUCAGGUAGGACUACCCGCUGAACU
RNAcentral lists this ribosomal RNA (33 nucleotides) under Sarcodon imbricatus. RNAcentral's name for it is "partial 28S ribosomal RNA". The record is from RNAcentral. Lineage: Eukaryota; Fungi; Basidiomycota; Agaricomycetes; Thelephorales; Thelephoraceae.